GAAUAUUGGACAAUGGGCGAAAGCCUGAUCCAGCCAUGCCGCGUGUGUGAAGAAGGUCUUCGGAUUGUAAAGCACUUUAAGUUGGGGGGAAGGGUUGUAGAUUAAUACUCUGCACUUUUGACGUUACCGACAGAAUAAGCACCGGCUAACUUCGUGCCAGCCGCCGCGGUAAUACGAAGGGUGCAAGCGUUAAUCGGAAUUACUGGGCGUAAAGCGCGCGUAGGUGGUUUGUUAAGUUGGAAGUGAAAGCCCCGGGCUCAACCUGGGAACGGCUUUCAAAACUGGCGAGCUAGAGUAGGGCAGAGGGUGGUGGAAUUUCCUGUGUAGCGGUGAAAUGCGUAGAGAUCUGGAGGAAUACCGAUGGCGAAGGCAGCCAUCUGGCCUAAUACUGACACUGAGGUGCGAAAGCAUGGGGAGCAAACAG
RNAcentral lists this ribosomal RNA (424 nucleotides) under uncultured bacterium. RNAcentral describes it as "bacterial SSU rRNA". It matches the Rfam family "Bacterial small subunit ribosomal RNA", at positions 359 to 775 of the family's 1533-position model. The record is from RNAcentral.